UUCCAGGAUGUGUAAAAUUAUGAGCACAACUGUGGCUCUUCCCUGCUUGUCCAGCGUGAACACCGCGGGCUAAACGCGCCUUCAAGAAAUCGCAUUCAGGGCUUUCUUGGAUGUGUGUCAAAUGUCCGGUGUGUUCAUUUCCGUCCUACCAGGUUCAGGUUUUGGAGUGUUCAAGUUUAUUUAUGAAACGUUCAACCUUUCUGCCACUAACUUCAGUCUCCUGCAUAUAUUAGUCCUACAACACCAGUUGCUGACGCAGACUUCUAUGAGGGUGAACAUCGGAGUAAUAAUUAAGAACAUCAACGUUUUAGAAAAGUGUGAAAAUCAUUGUAAUUAGACAAAAAUAAGCAAAAUAGUAAGCAGUGUUCUAAAUUGCGAUACAUUCUUAAGGAAGUUUCUUUUUGAUCCACCCAUCCAUUUCCUCCUGGUUGUAUCCCUAAUGGGGUCAAGUAGCUACCAGAGCCUAACCUGAUUACUGUUGGGGUACACCCUGUUGCAGGGCAACACAACCACACAUACACACUCAAAGUCACACCAAGCCACAAUUGAGAGUAAUAAAUCAUCCUAUGAAGCAUGUCUUUGGACUGUGGGAGGAAGCUUGAGUGCCUGUAGAAAACCCAUACAUACAGUCUUUGUCUUUUUGACGUAACCCGUUUUCUUACACACACCUCUUUGUCAAACUAAAAUUUCAGUUUGAAUAAAUAAAAAAGCAGAUCUUUCCCAUUGCCAAAAUACUCUGGGUCAUGGAGAGUAAUUGACUGUAACUCUUAUUAUGUUUGUGUCCAUUUGAUAAGUAAAAAUAGAUUAUUUUGUAAAAGGGCCACACUGCAGAUAAAUUAAUAUAUUCUCAUUCAGUAAAAGAUGAAUAGGAAAAAGGUCUAAGCUCCUGCAAUCUACAAUCACUUUGGCUAUUACUAGUUAUCACAAAAAAACAGGAGGAGUUCUAAAUGAAUAGUGUAGAUACUGUUAAACACCCAGAACUUAAAACCAGGAACAUCUAUCAAGCCC
Molecule: long non-coding RNA, 1008 nt
Filed under: Oryzias javanicus (javanese ricefish)
Lineage: Eukaryota; Metazoa; Chordata; Actinopteri; Beloniformes; Adrianichthyidae
Description: lncRNA (ENSOJAG00000011081.1)
Source: RNAcentral